Molecule: ribosomal RNA, 304 nt
Filed under: uncultured bacterium
Lineage: Bacteria
Description: bacterial SSU rRNA
Rfam family: Bacterial small subunit ribosomal RNA
Source: RNAcentral
AUUGAACGCUGGCGGCAGGCUUAACACAUGCAAGUCGAGCGGAUGAAGGUAGCUUGCUACCGGAUUCAGCGGCGGACGGGUGAGUAAUGCUUAGGAAUCUGCCUAUUAGUGGGGGACAACGUUCCGAAAGGAGCGCUAAUACCGCAUACGUCCUACGGGAGAAAGCAGGGGACCUUUGGGCCUUGCGCUAAUAGAUGAGCCUAAGUCGGAUUAGCUAGUUGGUAGGGUAAAGGCCUACCAAGGCGACGAUCUGUAGCGGGUCUGAGAGGAUGAUCCGCCACACUGGGACUGAGACACGGCCCAG